This 475-nucleotide ribosomal RNA is filed under the name uncultured bacterium. RNAcentral's name for it is "partial 16S ribosomal RNA". It matches the Rfam family "Bacterial small subunit ribosomal RNA", at positions 28 to 507 of the family's 1533-position model. The record is from RNAcentral.
GAUGAACGCUAGCGGCAGGCCUAACACAUGCAAGUCGAGCGACAAGCCUUCGGGCUAAGACCGGUGCACGGGUGCGUAACGCGUAUACAAACUGCCUUUUCUCCGGGUGAUAGUCCGAAGAACUUUGGGUUAAUAACCUUUGGCAUAAGAGCAAGGCAUCGUGCACUUAUUAACGCUAGGGCGUUAAACCAUGCGUAUGCGUUCUAUUGGCUAGUUGGUGAGGUAACGGCUCCGCAAGGCGACGAUAGAUAGGGGUUUCGAGAGGGAUGUCCCCCACACUGGUACUGAGAUACGGACCAGUCUGCUACGGGAGGGAGCAGUGAGGAAGACAGGAGAAUGGUCGCAAGACUGAUCCAGCCAUGCCGCGUGCAGGAUGACGGCGUUAUGGAUGGUAAUCUGCUGUUGUAAGGGAGGAAUAGGGUGUACGGGUGCUUUGAUGACGGUACCUUACGAAUAAGCACCGGCUAACUCCGUG